UUUCCGUAGGUGAACCUGCGGAAGGAUCAUUAUUGAAUAAACUUGGUUAGGUUGUUGCUGGCUCUUAGGAGCAUGUGCACGCCGACUCCAUUUUUAACCACCUGUGCACCUUGCGUAGAUCUGAUACUCUCGAGGCAACUCGGUUUGAGAAUUGCUGUGCAAUAAAAGGCCAGCUCUUCUUGUAUUCAGGUCUAUGUUUCUACAUACCCCACAUGAAUGUAUUUUGAAUGUCGUCAUUGGCCUUGUGCCUUUAAAAACAAAUACAACUUUCAACAACGGAUCUCUUGGCUCUC
RNAcentral lists this unclassified non-coding RNA (293 nucleotides) under plant metagenome. RNAcentral describes it as "partial contains small subunit ribosomal RNA, internal transcribed spacer 1, and 5.8S ribosomal RNA". The record is from RNAcentral.